This is a non-coding RNA of Schizosaccharomyces pombe (fission yeast), 562 nucleotides long. NCBI's taxonomy places the organism in Eukaryota, Fungi, Ascomycota, Schizosaccharomycetes, Schizosaccharomycetales, Schizosaccharomycetaceae. The record is from the annotation of a GenBank genome assembly.
UUUUUAGUUUACAAUGCAAUGGAAUGCAGCGGAUCAAUUUGGCACAAAGAAUGAAAAAUUACAAAGGAAAUCAGAUAUCAGUCUGUCCGACGUUAUCAUAGGUUAUUGAUAACGUUGUUUUAAGCAAUUCAUUGUGGUAUGCAAUGCUUUAUAAACUGAUACUUUAAAGCUUAACUAUUUGUGAUGACGGAAAAGGAAUUAAGUAGCUUGCUAAACUGUAUAUCAUGUCAGCAAUACUACACUACGCUAUGAUACACUACGUUGCGUAUCACUAUAUGUCACAUGUUCUAAUUAUAUAUCGUACCAUGUAUGAUACGAUAUGGAGAUUGAUCUUAAUGAUAAUCUAUUAAGAUCAAUAUUAUCUGAAUACUAUAAAUAGAGCUACUGCUGAACCUCGUUCCUCAGUUCAGUUAUGAGCUAUAUUAGUGAUAGGUAACAUUAUAACCCAGUUAAUACAAUACCUAUACUCAGUUGCUACUUAUACAACCUGUGUAUUGUAAUAUAAUAGAUCACAAGGAAAACUCACCGCAGUUCUACGUAUCCUUAAAUCAGAUACCAAACU